CCUACGGGAGGCAGCAGUGAGGAAUAUUGGUCAAUGGCCGGGAGGCUGAACCAGCCAAGUCGCGUGAGGGAAGACGGCCCUACGGGUUGUAAACCUCUUUUGUCAGGGAGCAAGGUGCAGGUCGGGACCUGCUGUGAGAGUACCUGAAGAAAAAGCAUCGGCUAACUCCGUGCCAGCAGCCGCGGUAAUACGGAGGAUGCGAGCGUUAUCCGGAUUUAUUGGGUUUAAAGGGUGCGCAGGCGGAGGCACAAGCCAGCGGUAAAAUCGCGGGGCUCAACCCCGCGCCGCCGUUGAAACUGGGUGCCUUGAGUGCGCGAAGGGUAGGCGGAAUGCGUGGUGUAGCGGUGAAAUGCAUAGAUAUCACGCAGAACUCCGAUCGCGAAGGCAGCCUACCGGCGCGCAACUGACGCUCAUGCACGAAAGCGUGGGUAUCGAACAGGAUUAGAUACCCUAGUAGUC
This 459-nucleotide ribosomal RNA is filed under the name uncultured bacterium. Its description in RNAcentral is "partial 16S ribosomal RNA". It matches the Rfam family "Bacterial small subunit ribosomal RNA", at positions 338 to 795 of the family's 1533-position model. The record is from RNAcentral.